CCCCUCUCGGGGUCGUACCUGGUGAGUUUCCAGUACUCUACCAAUCUCGACUACAGGAGGGAGAGUCAAGCAGAGGUCUACCCAUUCCAUUCCUAGUUUGGGCAGUGGUAGCGAGUGGAAGGAAAUCUGCUACAAAU
RNAcentral lists this small nucleolar RNA (137 nucleotides) under Ornithorhynchus anatinus (platypus). The record is from RNAcentral. Lineage: Eukaryota; Metazoa; Chordata; Mammalia; Monotremata; Ornithorhynchidae.